Molecule: ribosomal RNA, 468 nt
Filed under: uncultured bacterium
Lineage: Bacteria
Description: partial 16S ribosomal RNA
Rfam family: Bacterial small subunit ribosomal RNA
Source: RNAcentral
GACGAACGCUGGCGGCGUGCUUAACACAUGCAAGUCGAACGGCAAGGCCCUGCUUUUGUGGGGUGCUCGAGUGGCGAACGGGUGAGUAACACGUGAGUAACCUGCCCUUGACUUUGGGAUAACUUCAGGAAACUGGGGCUAAUACCGGAUAGGAUCUCCUGCUGCAUGGUGGGGGUUGGAAAGUUUCGGCGGUUGGGGAUGGACUCGCGGCUUAUCAGCUUGUUGGUGGGGUAGUGGCUUACCAAGGCUUUGACGGGUAGCCGGCCUGAGAGGGUGACCGGGCACAUUGGGACUGAGAUACGGCCCAGACUCGUACGGGAGGCAGCAGUGGGGAAUAUUGCACAAUGGGCGGAAGCCUGAUGCAGCAACGCCGCGUGCGGGAUGACGGCCUUCGGGUUGUAAACCGCUUUCGCCUGUGACGAAGCGUGAGUGACGGUAAUGGGUAAAGAAGCACCGGCUAACUACGUG